Molecule: ribosomal RNA, 1926 nt
Filed under: Platyophrya macrostoma
Lineage: Eukaryota; Ciliophora; Colpodea; Cyrtolophosidida; Platyophryidae
Description: partial Bacterial large subunit ribosomal RNA
Rfam family: Bacterial large subunit ribosomal RNA
Source: RNAcentral
AAGCGCAUACGGUGGAUGCCUUGGCAGUCAGAGGCGAUGAAAGACGUGGUAGCCUGCGAUAAGCUUUGGGGAGUCGGCAAACAGACUGUGAUCCAGAGAUCUCUGAAUGGGGGAACCCAGCCAGCACAAGCUGGUUAUCUUGUACUGAAUACAUAGGUGCAAGAGGCGAACCAGGGGAACUGAAACAUCUAAGUACCCUGAGGAAAAGAAAUCAACCGAGAUUCCCCCAGUAGCGGCGAGCGAACGGGGAGCAGCCCAGAGUCUGAAUCAGCUUGUGUGUUAGUGGAACGGUCUGGAAAGUCCGACGGUACAGGGUGAUAGUCCCGUACACCAAAAUGCACAGGUUGUGAACUCGAAGAGUAGGGCGGGACACGUGGUAUCCUGUCUGAAUAUGGGGGGACCAUCCUCCAAGGCUAAAUACUCCUGACUGACCGAUAGUGAACCAGUACCGUGAGGGAAAGGCGAAAAGAACCCCGGCGAGGGGAGUGAAAAAGAACCUGAAACCGUGUACGUACAAGCAGUGGGAGCACCUUCGGGUGUGACUGCGUACCUUUUGUAUAAUGGGUCAGCGACUUAUAUUCUGUAGCAAGGUUAACCGUAUAGGGGAGCCGCAGGGAAACCGAGUCUUAACUGGGCGUUAAGUUGCAGGGUAUAGACCCGAAACCCGGUGAUCUAGCCAUGGGCAGGUUGAAGGUUGGGUAACACUAACUGGAGGACCGAACCGACUAAUGUUGAAAAAUUAGCGGAUGACUUGUGGCUGGGGGUGAAAGGCCAAUCAAACCGGGAGAUAGCUGGUUCUCCCCGAAAGCUAUUUAGGUAGCGCCUCGUGAAUUCAUCUUCGGGGGUAGAGCACUGUUUCGGCUAGGGGGUCAUCCCGACUUACCAACCCGAUGCAAACUACGAAUACCGAAGAAUGUUAUCACGGGAGACACACGGCGGGUGCUAACGUCCGUCGUGAAGAGGGAAACAACCCAGACCGCCAGCUAAGGUCCCAAAGUCACAGUUAAGUGGGAAACGAUGUGGGAAGGCACAGACAGCCAGGAUGUUGGCUUAGAAGCAGCCAUCAUUUAAAGAAAGCGUAAUAGCUCACUGGUCGAGUCGGCCUGCGCGGAAGAUGUAACGGGGCUAAACUGUGCACCGAAGCUGCGGCAGCGACACUAUGUGUUGUUGGGUAGGGGAGCGUUCUGUAAGCCUGCGAAGGUGGCCUGUGAGGGUUGCUGGAGGUAUCAGAAGUGCGAAUGCUGACAUAAGUAACGAUAAUGCGGGUGAAAAGCCCGCACGCCGGAAGACCAAGGGUUCCUGUCCAACGUUAAUCGGGGCAGGGUGAGUCGACCCCUAAGGCGAGGCCGAAAGGCGUAGUCGAUGGGAAACAGGUUAAUAUUCCUGUACUUGGUGUUACUGCGAAGGGGGGACGGAGAAGGCUAUGUUAGCCGGGCGACGGUUGUCCCGGUUUAAGCAUGUAGGCGGAGGUUCCAGGUAAAUCCGGUACCUUUUAACGCUGAGGUGUGAUGACGAGGCACUACGGUGCUGAAGUAACAAAUGCCCUGCUUCCAGGAAAAGCCUCUAAGCAUCAGGUAACAUUGAAUCGUACCCCAAACCGACACAGGUGGUCAGGUAGAGAAUACCAAGGCGCUUGAGAGAACUCGGGUGAAGGAACUAGGCAAAAUGGUGCCGUAACUUCGGGAGAAGGCACGCUGAUAUGUAGGUGAAGUCCCUGCGGAUGGAGCUGAAAUCAGUCGAAGAUACCAGCUGGCUGCAACUGUUUAUUAAAAACACAGCACUGUGCAAACACGAAAGUGGACGUAUACGGUGUGACGCCUGCCCGGUGCCGGAAGGUUAAUUGAUGGGGUUAUCCGUAAGGAGAAGCUCUUGAUCGAAGCCCCGGUAAACGGCGGCCGUAACAAUAACGGUCCUAAGGUAGCGAAA